UUUUGUAGAAUUGAGUCGCCCGAAGAGAAGUAGAGAAUCAAAAGUAUAUACUUUUUCUCUGAGUUUGUUUUUAUUUUUAAGUUUAUUUUUCCCUGGUCUAUAACCGCUCCAUCAGUCCAUCUAGAGUAUUUGUCAUUCUUCUCAACUUGACAUUUUAGCUUUCAUCACUUUCAGUGACCAUAUUUACUAAUAAUUUGUUAUUCAAAUUCUCCAGCUGUCCCCAUUUAGCUAUCCUUGGAGCAUUUUUUGUCAGGUAAGCAUCUAACCUAUUGUAUAUCGUCUAUAUUUUGUUAACCUGCGGUAGAGUCAAUCUGGAGCAUUGAUUGAGUCCAUGGUAUUAUAGUUUGUUAAUCAGUCAUUUAUAGAAUAUUCUGUGAAAUUGAAGUCACUAUUGGUUAGUAUUAUGUGAAACUGAAGUCACAGUUAGUUUUCUAACUCGGGGCAACAGAGUUUUAUAGAAUUGAGUCGCCCGUAGAGAAGUAGAGAAUCAAAAAUAUACUUUUUCUCUGAGUUUGUUUUUAUUCUUAAGUUUAUUUUGUUUUCAUUCUUAAGUUUAUUUUUCAUGUGGUCUAUAACCGCUCCAUCUAGACUAUUUGUCAUUCUUCUCAACUUGACAUUUUAGCUUUCAUCACUUUUAGUGACCACAUUUAGAGGUUAAUACUAGAACAAAUGAAGUUGGAAGCAAUUGUGUGGGAACCCCUUUGCUAAAGAGGUUGAGUUUGAGAAUAGGAAUAGAUUUCUGAGGAUCAACUAUCGAUAGUUGACGUGUGAUUAGUUUUCUACAUGUUACAUUUAUUCAUUGAGGUAUAUCAUAAUCUAACAACUUUGUGUUUGUAUCUACCAAAAUCUUUCAGCAAUGACAUCUUUGGUAGAAUUCAGUUUGCUAAUUAUUGAAAGAAGCCAACAUUUGUAUUCCUUAUGGAAAGAAGAUAGAAGCUCAUAUCUUUUAUACAUAUAAGAACUAGGUAAGCUUGGCAAUGAGGGAGCAAGAAUCGUGUUUACCCUUUGAGGCGGAAACAGAGAUAGAGGUUCAACGUAGUUGGAGCUUCCAAGGUCAUAAAUGUCUUCUACAUAGUCGAGUGUAUCUUAGUAGUAGGAUUUACAAGUUUGAUUCCUUCUCUUCUUUAAAGUCUAUUUGUAACCUGAUAGGACUAUCUUUUAAAAAUUGAUUAAGUUCAUGAUUAUCUGUCAGCCAUUAUCAUUUUUCUUUUAGUUUUGUGAUUUUCACAGUUUUCAUUCCUUAA
RNAcentral lists this long non-coding RNA (1244 nucleotides) under Nicotiana tabacum (common tobacco). Its description in RNAcentral is "long non-coding RNA (NTAB_LNC016276)". Lineage: Eukaryota; Viridiplantae; Streptophyta; Magnoliopsida; Solanales; Solanaceae. The record is from RNAcentral.